CUUGGGCUGCACAUCCAGUAAAGCGGCAGCCUGAUGGCGUCCUCUUGUCUUGGCGGGCAGGAAGUUGACAGAAAGCGAGGAGAGCGGUUACUCUUUAGUUUUGUGGAAUAUUAGGAAGGGUAACAGUCAGCCAAGGUCAGGAGAAGUCCCGCUGAUGGCACGGAAUACGUGGAGGGAGUUUUGCAGGAGCGAGCGCAUCAUGCCUUCCUGGUAUAUCUGUGGCCAAAAAUAGAGCAGAACCGUUUCACGUGACUUCAAACUUGACACCUCAUUGGCUGGUUCUGAGACAGGAUCGAUUGCUUCAGUCUUAAUUUACCUGAAGUGGCAGCUUGUGUGAUCCGGACUGGCGUUACGGUGGGGCUUACUCGCAGGGCUGGUUGGUCUUGCUGUCAUCCAGGAAGGCUCUGGCAUAGGCCAUGGGGCCGGCGUUCACCUGCAACAAUCAUCGCACCUGAACACCAUAAACAUCCUGCAAGAACAUCACCAUCCUCCUCCUCCUCCCCCAAGAUCUCAAACCUGCACAGACACGCAUCCCUGCAGUUUGAGCUGCAGCUGGAUCAUGUCCACCUCAGCGCUGGAGCACAGCUUGAGAAGCUCGGCCGUGCGGGACCUCAUCUCGUCGAUGGCCACCUCUACCGGCCGGAGGUCCACCUGCUUCUCUGUGACGACCUCCACUCGCUUCUUCACGUAAGGAAAUGUGUUGGCCGCUGAAGGGGAGGCAAAGGCAUGAGAAAAGCGCCAUGCUACGGCAAAUAGCGCAACAAUAAAACAAAGGCGUUAUUUCAUCACCACAAAACCAAGUAUCCUUUAAAAAUAUUUACACUAAAUAAUGGUGCAGUAGCACUAAUAGCAAAGAGGAUAGAAAACCACCCUUUGGAUACUAAUGGCUGCCUAUUUGUGCACUAACACGAAGGCUGUGUUUCAACUCACAUAUUUCCACUUUGCAUUUGGAGGGCAGAAAUCUGUUCACCAAAUAGCGAGUGUGCAGCAAUUAACACUAACCACCCUUAAUCCCUUAAUCAUCGCCAUUUUCAGUACGUAUAAUUAAAAAAUUAUAGAAGGAUGAGGAAGCAGGUCAUAAUUUCCGUGAAAAAUGAAUAAUGGAUUUGAGAAACAGCACCUGUUAAAAUCUGGGCCCUCUGGAUGUACACAGCACAUAUAGUACACUAUGUGUAAAUAAAUAUGUGAAUUGAAACACAGCCCAUGCUUAUAGGCUGCAUUCACACUUGUCAUGCUUGGUUCAGUUAAAACAAACUCUGGUGCGUUUGCGCUGCUAGUAUAUAUUUUUUGUGCCGAGCAAUCACUCGAACCCUGGUGUACACCAAACAUUUUAACAAAUGAACUAUGGUGCCGUUCGCUUCACUUGAACUACAAAUGGGAACACUAGAUGGACAAAAAAACAGUGGACCACUGUUAAAAUGACAGCUAAAAGCCAGCAAAAAUGACAAUUAUGUCAAAUUAAAUGUGGUAUACGUGCUGUCCCUCUGUGUAACCGCGUUUUCAAAGUAUAUAUUAAUGCUUUUUGUAAAAGCUAAGACAGCAAAAAUAGCAAAAAUACUGUAUGUACUGUAUUCAACCCAGGAGAAGCAUUUUGGAUUGGAAUAUUUCAGUUACAGUAUGUCAUCACCUAAUAUGUCACAAAAGCUCUUUAAAAGGUUCACCUUAGAUGUUUUUUUGUGAUAUCUAAAUAGGUUAUGAUAGCAGAAUAUAAAAAUGUUGUAAAACAACAUUUCGGUUUGGAAUAUUUGAGUUAUAGUACGUCAAUGUCAAGAAAGGGCUUUAAAAACUAUGGUGUAGAAGCUUUUUGUGAUAUCUAAACUGGUAAACCUAACAAGAUUUCAAAAUAAUCUACAUAUUCAACCCAGCAGACGGCAUUUUGGACAGGAAUAUUUGAGUUACCUAAUGUUACCUAAUAUCUUUCGAAAGCUCUUUAAAAGUAUAUUUUAUAAGCUUUUUGUAAUAUGUAAACUGGUAAAUAUCGAAUCCAAUCCACUUUAUUUGUAUAGCACAUUUAAACAACAAAAAUGUUUCCAAAGUGCUGCACAACAAUACUAAAAACAAUAUAUAAUUAUCCUUAGCUCCAACAAUGACUGAAUAAAAGCAAAAAACAAAUAAAUAUAAAACCAAUAUAAAGACACAAUAAAAAUAAAUAUAAAUGAUUAAAAACAAUUUUAAAGGGUAAAACCAAUCAAAACAAUAAAUACAAAUCUAAAUUUAAAAACACAGAGGACCACACAACUCACGUAGUGUUAAAAGCCAGAGAAUGAAAGUGGGUCUUAAGACGAGACUUAAAACACCACACUUUGAGAGCAGUUCGAACAUGGAGGGGCAGAGUGUUCCAGAGCUCAGGGCCGACCACAGAGAAGGCCCUGUCUCCGCUGGUUUUAAGUCUCUUCUUAGGCACCACAAGCUGGAGCUGGUUCAAUACAGCACAAUAUGAAAAUAAUCUACAUAUUCAAUCCAGCAGACGGCAUUUUGGUUUGGAAUAUUCAAAUUACGUCAUGUAAUUCGCCUCAAAAGCGGCCCAAUCAAGUUCUGACAGUUAUGUUUAUGUUCCUUAUUGUGCAGUCUUUGGUCACAUGAUAAAAAUAAUAGUGUGAACAUUAAGCCAACCGCCCCCCAAAGAGCACAUUAAGUUUUUGAAAAAUGUUUUGGUCCGGGUGAUCGUACAGGACCACAAGUGUGAACGCAGCCUUAUAUGACACUAAGCGUGGUCAUCGCCUGUACUUUAAAGAUCCAAAGUUUGUACUUGUAAGUAUGGUCCUCCUCUUGCACUGCUCCUCCACGCCGCCAUGCUUCUUCCCCGACAGUGUGUACGGCGUCUCGAACACAAAGCGGUUGAUGUUAUGGCACUUCUCAAAGUCUGUCUUCUUCUCCGGUGUCUCCUUCUCCUCAAAGUAGGGCUUGACAAAGGUUACCUGCACAUAGGCAAACUUGGGGUCCAGGUCUUUGGGGUUGACCUGCGGAACGACAAGACCUGCAUCACUUGUUGUCCUUCCGUCGGAAUUCACAACUCAAAUUGACAAAAAAGCACCUUGUUGGAGUCUUGAAUGAUUUUAACGUUCUCAGGCCCAAACUUCUCCCCGUAGAGCAUCAAAAGUCGCUGGGAGAUUUCAGACAGACCGGUGAGUUUGGGCUCCUUGUAAAUGUACUCUUUCCCAUCCUCCUCCUCAAAGAAACCCUGCACAAAACACGCACACUCGCUUGUACACCAGAAAAAGCCAAAGAAAAUAUCUAAAAUGUUUAUUUUUGACUAUAAAGACGGUUGGAAUUAAUGUAUCUGUCUUAAGUAAUAUUUGUACAGACAUCUGAGGUUAAUGUGGGUAUUAAGAACUGUAACUGCCUAAUUUAAAAUACUAGCAAAAUAUAAAUAAGUGGAACCCUGAGACUUCUUUUUUUAGGGUUGGUUAAAGAAAGAAGUCUGUUGUAUCAAACCAAAUACUUUCGUAAAUUUGAUAAGCAACGACAAGGUGUUGUGCCCUCCAUCCAACAGGAGUUCUUGCUGAAAUCCGCAGAUACAUUGACUCAUAUCAAAUUUUAAAUGAUACUACUUUUUCUCAAUGUAACUUUUUCUGUAAUUAAAGCAAUUUGAAAGUAUAUUUCAACCCAACUUCAAAUAAUAAAAAUAAUCUGCCAACAAAUCAAUAAAAAAUAUGUUUUUGGUACAAACAAAACACUUUUAAUCUUGAUUUAAUUUAAAGGCGACCAUUUAUGCAAAACCAUUUUUUCUUGCCUGUUGGUACCUGCUUUUGUGUAUUAGGUAUUUUGUGUAUUAGGGAUUUAAAUUAAUCACAAAAAUUUGAAAUCAAACCAUGGGAGGCAUGGCGGAGAUGUAUAUAAAAUAAUGUUUCCUUUAUUUAUAUAUUUCCUCCAAACAAGCCGUAGACAUCAGUGGACUAUCCAUAUAUGAUAAACAUGUAUCCAAAGUGCUUUGCACGCGUCCACCAUUGUAGUCCUCGUAGUCAGUAAGUUCCUUCUUUUUCGCUAUCCUCUUGUUGGGGGGCAGACUGACUCGUAAGUGCACAUGCAUCCUUCGCUGUUGGCAUUUCUGUUAUGAAGUACUGUAUAGUUCUAACUUGUAUCUGUGGAUAAACUCAAUAUGGAAGCACUAAAAACUAUUACAUGGCUGACGGGGAGAAGACGCAGUCCAAGUAGAGGUAUAUAAAUAAAACCAGCCACAAAACGGCGCAUCUUGAAGAGACGACAAAAAGCGUUUUGAAGAUGGUCUGUAAACAUAAUCUAUGCAACAGUUUGGCCAUAUAACCACCAUUACAUGUUAUGUAGGCACAAUGAAGUGUUAUGAAUGUAGAAAAAAAAGUUAAAAUAUGAUCUCUAUAAGAUAUAUACUUUUUGUAGUGGAGAUGUAAUGAAACUAAAAGGCUCACACAAAUUGAGUUCAUGCAGAGGUAAGGGACAUAUUACUUUUUUUUUUUGGUCUGGUUUGUUUAAAAUAUUACUCAAGCUUACUUCGGUGUUUAAAAUGUUGUAAGGCAUUCGGUAACAUGUGUUUCGGUGCUAAAAAUAGUAGGAAGGGUUUAAUAUCACAAGUAUUCUUACUUAAUAGUAAUGACAAUGAUAAUAAUCAUAAUGAAAGAUCCACCUGUCCAUAGAAAGCAACUCUGAAGUAUGUUCCAAGCAGCCUUCGUCCAGAUUGGAUCACUUCCAUGAUCUUGUUGUAGGCUCUGUGCAGCGUGUCGUACAGUCGGCUUAAUUUCUACAAGACAGGCAGAAAAUAAAAUUGCCAAAACCCCAAUCAAAGACAGAAUGAUAGCAGAUGAGAACAACUCAGUAUCAAUAAUAGUACAGUGUAACAAGUUUCUGUCAUGCCCUGGCUGACUGAUGUCGACAUAAACGGUUGUAAACUAAACAAAUGCCAAAACUGGCAAUUUCUUGCACAUGUACUUGUGACUUUGUCCAGAGACAUAAGAAAAAUGGGUGACAACAAAAGCUUGUUUAACCAAGGGAAAUUAUAGUAAAUGGUAAAUGGGUUAUACUGAUAGCGGGAGCUGACAUGGAAGGCCCUAACCACGACCCAUCAGGAGCAAGGGUAAAGUGUUUUGCCCAAGGAACCAACGGUCGUGACAAGUACGGCGGAAGCUGGGAUCAAACCUAGAACCCUCGAGUUGCUGGCGCUGCCACUCUACCACAAGAGCCCUGCUGCUUUCGUUGUAUGCCUUGACAACAAAACUUUAGUGCAUGCGCAAAUCUUUUUUUCAGUGGCUAACAAUAAAUAUAAAAAAAACAUUAAAUAGAUCCAUUUUGUUCACUGAUUUGAAAGAAUCCAGGUUACUAAUACUGUUAUGCUUUUAUUAUGAUGCUUAAUAAGCAGAAAGUCAUUGUGUGCACGUUUUGAUGCUGUAUAACUAGACAGUAGUUAUGUUGCUAAUUUUGUUUUUAUGUUGCUUAGUGAUAGUGAUGAAGUAAACAAUAUUACUACACAUCGAUAUAAACGGAUCCAUUUUAUAUAGACACGACCCCUUUUGGUUCUUGACCAUGUAGCGGACACUUUUUCUAAAAUAAGAACAACAGUGCAUCACAGUACUUGAGUUGGUCCACUUUGUAAAUAGGGCUGACUUAAGCGGGACUCACACUGUAGUAUAUGACAAUAUAUGCAUCCUAGCUCUGGUACCUCGUAGUCAUGGCGCUUUUCAAAACACGGAAUCACCAGUUUGGCGAUAUGUGUGAUGAGCUCGUAGCGCUCAGCUUUCCAGAGGGCCUCCACGCACACCUCCAGGUGCUCUACCAGGACUUCCUGGCAAGAUGCAGAAAAAAGGAAAUUGUAUUUAUUUUAUUGAUUUUUUUUUUAUGCUUGUCAGAUGUGUUGUGCAAGAACCUCAGUGUAAUAAACAUCUUGCAUCCCUGUG
Molecule: long non-coding RNA, 5864 nt
Organism: Nerophis ophidion (straightnose pipefish)
Lineage: Eukaryota; Metazoa; Chordata; Actinopteri; Syngnathiformes; Syngnathidae
Exons: 4
Source: RefSeq, a predicted model, not a curated record